GGAUGUGAAGGCAGUCUGUGACCUCUGUCACCCCAUUGACCACCAGGGUGGAUUCGGCUGACCUGGCUGGCUUAGGUGGGUGUCCCCUUCCUCCCUCAAUGCUCCAUCUGCAUCCCUGUUGAAGCUGCACACUCAGUCAAAGAGGACGACGACCCUGAUGGAUGAGGACUGUUUCCUGGGUCAAGAGCUCAAGAGUAGCUGCACUCCCCUGCUAGAACUUCCGAGCGAGCUCUCAAGAAAUAGCCACCUGACUGGCUGACAUAGUUCUGGGUGUGACUCAAUGGUGAACUUAGAAGAGGAAAGACCCACCCU
Molecule: small nuclear RNA, 312 nt
Filed under: Chinchilla lanigera (long-tailed chinchilla)
Lineage: Eukaryota; Metazoa; Chordata; Mammalia; Rodentia; Chinchillidae
Description: 7SK RNA (ENSCLAG00000021785.1)
Rfam family: 7SK RNA
About the family: 7SK was discovered as an abundant small nuclear RNA in the mid-70s but a possible function has only recently been suggested. Two independent studies have found that 7SK RNA binds the CDK9/cyclin T complex (known as elongation factor P-TEFb).
Source: RNAcentral